Molecule: ribosomal RNA, 393 nt
Filed under: Raorchestes menglaensis (Mengla small treefrog)
Lineage: Eukaryota; Metazoa; Chordata; Amphibia; Anura; Rhacophoridae
Description: partial large subunit ribosomal RNA
Rfam family: Bacterial large subunit ribosomal RNA
Source: RNAcentral
AUAAUCACUUGUUCUCUAAAUAAGGACUCGUAUUAACGGCAUAACGAGGGUUACACUGUCUCCCCCCUCCAAUCAGUGAAACUGAUCCCCCCGUGAAAAAGCGGGGAUAAAACUAUAAGACGAGAAGACCCCGUGGAGCUUUAAACCAACAGCAAUUUAGUAAAAAAUUCCCUCACAACUAUAAAACUAUGCUAACGGCUUUAGGUUGGGGUGACCACGGAGUAAAACUUAACCUCCAUGUCGAAAAGAUAAUAUUAACCUAAGAACUACUAUUCUAAGAAUUAGAAAACUAACGAACCAUGACCCGAUUAUCGAUCAACGAACCAAGUUACCCCGGGGAUAACAGCGCAAUCUACUUCAAGAGUCCUUAUCGACAAGUAGGCUUACGACCUC